This 533-nucleotide ribosomal RNA is filed under the name Bifidobacterium pseudocatenulatum. Its description in RNAcentral is "bacterial SSU rRNA". It matches the Rfam family "Bacterial small subunit ribosomal RNA", at positions 163 to 707 of the family's 1533-position model. The record is from RNAcentral. Lineage: Bacteria; Bacillati; Actinomycetota; Actinomycetes; Bifidobacteriales; Bifidobacteriaceae.
GUAAUGCCGGAUGCUCCGACUCCUCGCAUGGGGUGUCGGGAAAGAUUUCAUCGGUAUGGGAUGGGGUCGCGUCCUAUCAGGUAGUCGGCGGGGUAACGGCCCACCGAGCCUACGACGGGUAGCCGGCCUGAGAGGGCGACCGGCCACAUUGGGACUGAGAUACGGCCCAGACUCCUACGGGAGGCAGCAGUGGGGAAUAUUGCACAAUGGGCGCAAGCCUGAUGCAGCGACGCCGCGUGCGGGAUGACGGCCUUCGGGUUGUAAACCGCUUUUGAUCGGGAGCAAGCCUUCGGGUGAGUGUACCUUUCGAAUAAGCACCGGCUAACUACGUGCCAGCAGCCGCGGUAAUACGUAGGGUGCAAGCGUUAUCCGGAAUUAUUGGGCGUAAAGGGCUCGUAGGCGGUUCGUCGCGUCCGGUGUGAAAGUCCAUCGCUUAACGGUGGAUCUGCGCCGGGUACGGGCGGGCUGGAGUGCGGUAGGGGAGACUGGAAUUCCCGGUGUAACGGUGGAAUGUGUAGAUAUCGGAAAAGAAC